Molecule: ribosomal RNA, 221 nt
Filed under: Variovorax sp. W023
Lineage: Bacteria; Pseudomonadati; Pseudomonadota; Betaproteobacteria; Burkholderiales; Comamonadaceae
Description: partial small subunit ribosomal RNA
Source: RNAcentral
CGCACGAGCGCAACCGUAUCUGUUGCGCGGUAAGUCGGACUCAGGAGACGCGGGAUAACCGAGAAGUGGGAGCGUCAAUCAUCAGGCCUUCGAUAGGCUCCCGGCUCAUGCGCAUCGAGGCACAACUACGAUAUACGAUCCAAAAAUGCGUGUAUCGGAGGAUCUCACUGAUCCAGAAUCGGAAUCGCUAUAAUGGUAACGAAAUUCCGGGUGGGUUUCUU